This 2476-nucleotide long non-coding RNA is filed under the name Sus scrofa (pig). RNAcentral describes it as "lncRNA (ENSSSCG00000055966.1)". Lineage: Eukaryota; Metazoa; Chordata; Mammalia; Artiodactyla; Suidae. The record is from RNAcentral.
CAAAUGAACUUAUCACAUCUGUAGUUGUAUAAUGAUCAUAACAAUCUGAUUUCACAGGAUUUCCAUCCCACAGCCCAGACCAUAGACUGUAAUAAAGUGGGAUUUAUCCCAGGGAUGCAAGGAUGGUUUUAUACCUGCAAAUCAAUCAAUAUGAUACAUCAUAUUAACAAGCUGAAGAAUAAAAACCAUAUGAUCAUUUCAAUAAAUGCAGAAAAAGCUUUUGACAAAAUUCAACAUCCGUGUAAAAUAAAAAUGUUCCACAAAGUGGACAAAGAAGGAACAUACCUCAACAUAAUAAUGGCCAUAUAUGACAAACCCAGAGCUAACAUCAUACUCAAUGGUGAAAAGCUGAAUGCAUUUCCUCUAAGAUCAGGAACAAGACAAGGAUGACCACUCUCUUCACUUUACUCAACGAAGUACUGGAAGUCUGAGCCACAGGGACCAAACAAGAAAAAGAAAUAAAAGGAAUCCCUAUUCGAAAGAAAGAAGUAAAAUUGCCACUGUUUGCAAAUGACAUGAUACUAUAUAUAGAAAAUCCUAUAUGCCAUCUAAAAUUACUAGAGCUCAUUAAUGAAUCUGGUAAAGUUUCAAAAUACAAAAUUAAUAAUCAGAAACUUGUUUCAUUGCUAUACACUAACAAAGAACUAUUAGAGAAAUUAAGGAAUCAGUUCCACUUACAAUUGCAUCAAAAAGAAGUACCUAAGAAUAAGCCUACCUAAAGUGGUAAAAGACCUGUACUCAAAAAACUAUAAGAAAACAGAUGAAAGAAACUGAAGAUAGCACACUCAGAUGGAAAGAUAUACACUGUUCAUGGAUAGGAAGAAUUAAUAUUAUGAAGAUAUACAAAUAAAAUUAGCAAAGACAUGAAACUAGACCCCUAUCUUACAUCACAGACAAAAAUCAACUCAAAAUGAUUAAUGACUUGAACAUAAGACCUGACACGUAAAACUGCUAAAAGUAAAAACAGGGAGCAAGGUCCCUGACAACUGUCUUAACAAAGGUUUUCUGGAUUUGGUAAAAGUGAAAGUGACAAAAUAAAAAAUAAGCAAAUGGGACUACAUCAAACUAAAAAGUUUCGGCACAACAAAAGGACACCAUCAACAAAAUGAAAAAGCAACUUAUAAAAUGGGAGAAAAUAUUUUCAAAUCAUAUAUCUGAUAAGGAAUUAAUAAUAUCUAAAAUAUGCAAAGAACUCAUACAACUCAAUAGCAAAAAAAAAAUUUUUAAAUGGACAUUUUUUCCAUAAAAGACUAAUAUAGAAGGGGGUACAUGAAAAGAUGCUCAACAUCACUUAUCAUCAACAAAAUUCAAAUCAAAACCAUAAUACAAUAUCUCCUCAUACCUGUUAGAAUGAUAUCAUCAAAAAGACAAGUGAUACCAAGUGUUGGUGAAGAUGUAGAGAAAAGGAAACUCUUGAUCAUUGUUGGUAGCAUUGUAAAUUUAUGCAGCUAUUACUGAAAACAGGAGGUACCUUCUUCAAAAAAUUAAAAGUAAAACUAUCAUAUGAUCCAGCAAUCACACUUCCGGUUAUAUAUCCAAAAGAAAACAGGACCUCCAGGAGAUACCUAAAUUCUCAUGUUCAUUGCAGCACUAGUCACAGUAGCCAAGACAUGGAAACAACCUAAAUGUCCAUCUGCAGAUGAAUGAAACACAAAGAUGUGGUGCAAUGUUUUUCACUCAUGAGAAAGACAGAAAUCCUUCCAUUUGCAACAACAUGGAUGGGCCUUAAGGGCCUUAAGGGCAUUAUACUAAGUGAAAUAAGCCAGACAAAGAAAGAGAAAGACAAAUACUGCAUGGUAUCAGUUUUAUGUAGAAUCUUAAAAAAAUUUUUCUAAUUCAAACUCAUAAAAACCAAGAGUAGAAAACUGGUCUCCAGGGACUGGGGAACCGAGGCAAAGGAAAGGUAGAGAGAGGUUGGUAAAAGGGCACAAACUUGCAAAUGUACGAUAAAGUCUAAGGAUAUAAUAUAAAACAUGGUUAUUAUCAUUGACAACACUCUACUGAAUGACUGAAAUUUGCUAAGAGAGAACUUAAAUGUUCACACAUACACAUACACAAAGACAAAUAGGUGAGUUGAUUUACAAUGUUGUAUUAGCUUCAAGUUUACAGCAUGAAUCAAUUAUACAUACAUCUAUAUCCAUUCGUUUUUCCCAUUUAGGUUAUUACAGAAUAUUACGUAGAUCUUGCAGUAGGUCCUUAUUAUUUACCUGUUUUAUAUAUAGUGGUGUGUAUGUGUUAAUCCCAUCUUCCCAAUUUUAUCCCUCCUCCUCCCAUGGUUUCCCCUUUGAUAACCCUAAAUUUGAUUUCAAAUCUGUGAGUUUAUUCCUGCUGUAUAAAUAAGUUAUUUUGUAUCAUUUUAGAUUAGAUUCCACAUAUGAGAGAUAUCAUGUGGUUAAAUAUCUUACAAUUUCAUUUGUCAAUUAUACCUAAAUACAGCUGGGGAGAAAGUGAUUUAAAAAAUCACAAAUCUGGACUU